UAAUACGUAGGUGGCAAGCGUUAUCCGGAUUUACUGGGUGUAAAGGGCGUGUAGGCGGGACUGCAAGUCAGAUGUGAAAUUCCAGGGCUCAACCCUGGACCUGCAUUUGAAACUGUGGUUCUUGAGUGAUGGAGAGGCAGGCGGAAUUCCCUGUGUAGCGGUGAAAUGCGUAGAUAUAGGGAGGAACACCAGUGGCGAAGGCGGCCUGCUGGACAUUAACUGACGCUGAGGCGCGAAAGCGUGGGGAGCAAACAGGAUUAGAUACCCUGGUAGUCCACGCUGUAAACGAUGGAUACUAGGUGUGGGGGGACUGACCCCUUCCGUGCCGCAGUUAACACAAUAAGUAUCCCACCUGGGGAGUACGAUCGCAAGGUUGAAACUCAAAUGAAUUGACGG
Molecule: ribosomal RNA, 396 nt
Filed under: bacterium enrichment culture
Lineage: Bacteria
Description: bacterial SSU rRNA
Rfam family: Bacterial small subunit ribosomal RNA
Source: RNAcentral